This 269-nucleotide ribosomal RNA is filed under the name uncultured prokaryote. RNAcentral's name for it is "partial 16S ribosomal RNA". It matches the Rfam family "Bacterial small subunit ribosomal RNA", at positions 524 to 792 of the family's 1533-position model. The record is from RNAcentral.
UACGAAGGGAGCUAGCGUUAUUCGGAAUUACUGGGCGUAAAGAGCGUGUAGGUGGCUAUUUAAGUCAGUUGUUAAAUCCCAUUGCUUAACGGUGGAACAGCAAUUGAAACUAAAUAGCUUGAGUGCAAGAGAGAGGAGUGGAAUUCUCGGAGUAGCGGUAAAAUGCGUAGAUCUCGAGAGGAACACCAAUGGCGAAGGCAGCUCCUUGGCUUGCCACUGACACUCAAACGCGAAAGCGUGGGUAGCAAACAGGAUUAGAUACCCCCGUA